GAUGAACGCUGGCGGCGUGCAUAACACAUUCAAGUCGAACGGUGAUGAGGGCUUCGGUCCUCUGAUCAGUGGCGGACGGGUGAGUAACGCGUGAGCAACCUGCCCUAUAUUGCGGGAUAACAACCGGAAACAGUUGCUAAUACCGCAUGACGUAUUCGGACCGCAUGUUCUGAAUACCAAAGAAUUUUGAUAUAGGAUGGGCUCGCGUCCGAUUAGGCAGUUGGUGGGGUAACGGCCCACCAAACCGACGAUCGGUAGCCGAACUGAGAGGUUGAACGGCCACAUUGGAACUGAGAUACGGUCCAG
RNAcentral lists this ribosomal RNA (306 nucleotides) under uncultured bacterium. RNAcentral describes it as "bacterial SSU rRNA". It matches the Rfam family "Bacterial small subunit ribosomal RNA", at positions 28 to 334 of the family's 1533-position model. The record is from RNAcentral.